GUUAGAUCUAAAAUAUCUAAAAAUGAGGUUAACCUAAAGAACAGUAGCACCUUAGACUAAGUCAUAUCGAAAAAGAAAGAAUUAACAGACUGGUGAAAGAUGAUCCUUUAGACUCGUUCUCGGAUGAGUUGUUUCCAAUCUAUGAGUCCUACCUUCAGAAAAAUAUGAUCAAACUUUCCUUUGUAGGAUACGAGGAAAGGACUACUAAAGUACUGGCUCUGGUACAUACUGAUAUAUACAGUCCAUUUGAUGUGCCGGCU
This 260-nucleotide long non-coding RNA is filed under the name Elaeis guineensis (African oil palm). Its description in RNAcentral is "long non-coding RNA (EGUI_LNC027846)". Lineage: Eukaryota; Viridiplantae; Streptophyta; Magnoliopsida; Arecales; Arecaceae. The record is from RNAcentral.